UGACCUCAAAUCAGGCGGGACUACCCGCUGAACUUAAGCAUAUCAAUAAGCGGAGGAAAAGAAACUAACAAGGAUUCCCCUAGUAACUGCGAGUGAAGCGGGAUGAGCUCAAAUUUAAAAUCUGGCGUCUUCGGCGUCCGAGUUGUAAUUUAGAGAAGU
Molecule: ribosomal RNA, 159 nt
Filed under: Entomocorticium sp. ZK25/08
Lineage: Eukaryota; Fungi; Basidiomycota; Agaricomycetes; Russulales; Peniophoraceae
Description: partial 28S ribosomal RNA
Rfam family: Eukaryotic large subunit ribosomal RNA
Source: RNAcentral